RNAcentral lists this ribosomal RNA (301 nucleotides) under uncultured bacterium. Its description in RNAcentral is "partial 16S ribosomal RNA". It matches the Rfam family "Bacterial small subunit ribosomal RNA", at positions 509 to 808 of the family's 1533-position model. The record is from RNAcentral.
CAGCCGCCGCGGGAAUACGUAGGUCCCGAGCGUUGUCCGGAUUUAUUGGGCGUAAAGCGAGCGCAGGCGGUUAGAUAAGUCUGAAGUUAAAGGCUGUGGCUUAACCAUAGUACGCUUUGGAAACUGUUUAACUUGAGUGCAAGAGGGGAGAGUGGAAUUCCAUGUGUAGCGGUGAAAUGCGUAGAUAUAUGGAGGAACACCGGUGGCGAAAGCGGCUCUCUGGCUUGUAACUGACGCUGAGGCUCGAAAGCGUGGGGCGCAAACAGGAUUAGAUACCCCGGUAGUCCCUGUCUCUUAUACA